GCUGUGGUGGUGUAAUGGGUAGCACUUCUGUCCAGCAAGCAAAAAGACCCGGGUUCGAGUCCCGGCCAUAGCA
This is a non-coding RNA of Schistocerca serialis cubense, 73 nucleotides long. NCBI's taxonomy places the organism in Eukaryota, Metazoa, Arthropoda, Insecta, Orthoptera, Acrididae. The record is from the annotation of a RefSeq genome assembly.